AUACAGAGGGCGCGAGCGUUAAUCGGAAUUACUGGGCGUAAAGGGCGCGCAGGCGGCUUGAUAAGUCAGAUGUGAAAGCCCACGGCUCAACCGUGGAAGUGCAUCUGAAACUGUCUGGCUUGAGUACUGGAGAGGAAAGUGGAAUUCCUGGUGUAGAGGUGAAAUUCGUAGAUAUCAGGAUGAACACCGGUGGCGAAGGCGACUUUCUGGACAGAUACUGACGCUGAGGCGCGAAAGCGUGGGGAGCAAACAGGAUUAGAAACCCGGGUAGUCC
RNAcentral lists this ribosomal RNA (274 nucleotides) under uncultured bacterium. RNAcentral describes it as "partial 16S ribosomal RNA". It matches the Rfam family "Bacterial small subunit ribosomal RNA", at positions 523 to 796 of the family's 1533-position model. The record is from RNAcentral.